Long non-coding RNA from Brassica oleracea var. oleracea, 473 nucleotides. RefSeq lists it as uncharacterized. The transcript is spliced from 2 exons. The record is from RefSeq and is a predicted model, not a curated record. NCBI's taxonomy places the organism in Eukaryota, Viridiplantae, Streptophyta, Magnoliopsida, Brassicales, Brassicaceae.
CCCCAUACGUGCUUACUUGGUAUUGGUCGUCUCUCUCUUCCUCGAUGCUCUUUUUUUCCUCAAAAAUCUCGUCGUCGUUCUUUGUUGUUGCUCUCCUCCUGCAAAUCCGUCCAUGAAAUCAAGUGAAGUAAGCGAUACAGAUGACUAUGAUUCAGAUUCCAGCAUCUGCACAAUUAUGUAGUCCUCAACCAACCACCAUUAACAUGGAGUUUUAACAAUGAGCUCGUCCUUUGUGUCUAGCUUCUUUUUAAGCAAUCAAUUCUUUUGUGAUCAAGUCUUCUGUCACAUUUCAUUAAUAGGAGUGAGAGUAUAUAUAUAAUAGAUUACUUAUGUAUUGUCCAAUAGAGGCUGAAGAUCUUUGCGAAUGCUGUUUGAUUUGAUGACAGGUUUUUGACAGUAAACUAUGUAUGUAUUUACUGCAACACACACAAGCUAAUUCAAUUGUAAGCAUGUGCAGCCAUUUUAUUCCUUCU